UACGGGAGGCAGCAGUGGGGAAUUUUUCGCAAUGGGCGCAAGCCUGAAUACGCAACGCCGCGUGGAGGAUGAAGGUCUUCGGAUUGUAAACUCCUGUUGAUCGGGACGAAAAGCUUCGACUUAAUACGUCGAAGACUGACGGUACCGGUUGAGGAAGCCCCGGCUAACUCUGUGCCAGCAGCCGCGGUAAUACAGAGGUGGCAAGCGUUGUUCGGAAUUACUGGGCGUAAAGGGCGCGUAGGCGGCCUUCUAAGUCGGACGUGAAAGCCCCAGGCUUAACCUGGGAACUGCGUCCGAUACUGGGAGGCUUGGAUUCGGGAGAGGGAUGUGGAAUUCCAGGUGUAGCGGUGAAAUGCGUAGAUAUCUGGAGGAACACCGGUGGCGAAGGCGGCAUCCUGGACCGAGAUUGACGCUGAGGCGCGAAAGCUAGGGGAGCAAACGGGAUUAGAUACCCCGGUAGUCCUAGCCCUAAACGAUGAAUGCUUGGUGUGGCGGGUAUCGAUCCCUGCCGUGCCGAAGCUAACGCAUUAAGCAUUCCGCCUGGA
Molecule: ribosomal RNA, 545 nt
Filed under: uncultured Acidobacterium sp.
Lineage: Bacteria; Pseudomonadati; Acidobacteriota; Terriglobia; Terriglobales; Acidobacteriaceae
Description: bacterial SSU rRNA
Rfam family: Bacterial small subunit ribosomal RNA
Source: RNAcentral